Long non-coding RNA from Onychostruthus taczanowskii (white-rumped snowfinch), 1161 nucleotides. RefSeq lists it as uncharacterized. Lineage: Eukaryota; Metazoa; Chordata; Aves; Passeriformes; Passeridae. The transcript is spliced from 5 exons. The record is from RefSeq and is a predicted model, not a curated record.
AACAAAAAGAGAGCAGAGUGUUAGGUGCAUGUGAACUCUGAGGGCUGCACCAACUAGUGCACAGGAUUUUCCUUAUUGUGUCAGAGAUGUUCCCAGAAAAACAGGAACAGGAAAUGGUAAUUCCUUCCCCCUGCCAUUUCAAAACAUACUCAGUGCUCUUUGUAGCGAGGAGGUCAGAGAGCUGACACCAAGGUUGUAAGAGACUGUGAAUGUAGGGCAGGCACUGUGUUUGACAGAGAUCAGGGUAUGUCCAUCCCUCCAAUGGAAGUGGGAUUUCACAUGGUGAAUCCCUCAGUUGAUGGCAGGAGAAAUGGGUGGCCAGGAGACCUCCACCAUGGCACAAGGCACUGCCUGCUCUAAAUGCAUGGAGCAAAUCAGGAGGCUUCACAGAGGAAGCAGAGGAGGAGCCCUUCCAGCCAGACAGGGUCCCCUGAGAGACCAGGAUGCCACACAGCACCUCUGAGAACAGAGACACAAAGUAGGUGAAGCAGUUUGGGGUGGGUGUCAGCUAAUCAGUUUGCCAUUCUUGCACCAGAAAGCCUUUGCAGUUCCAGUCCAGGCGAGCUGCAGGAACGGUAGCCGCUCAUUACCUGAAGUUCUCUGCUGUUUUGGGUACAACAUCUGCGAACAGCUCGAUCUUCAUGCGGCCGACCUCCUGAGGAGACGGGGGCCAGUCCCUCCCCGGGCGCCGCCGCUCCCCGUCCUGGAGCACCCCCACCUGCCCGCCGAUGGUUACAUCGAAGAAAACCACGGGGUUGUUGGGAUUCGCUGCCAGCGCCGACAUCGCGACUACCACUGCCGGAAGCGGAAAUGGCGGCGGAAGUGGAAACGGCGACGAAAGGCGAGAGAGGGCCGGGCGGGCGGUGGGGGUUUGAUCAGCUGAACACUGCCUAUGAGUCGUUUACAGGACAUCCUUCAAUGUUCUGACUGUGCUUGAGCAGAAGUCAUGCUUUCUGUGGCAGAAAGAUGAGCAAGGCCAGGGAUGAGCAGCAGUACAAGAUGAAUGAUGCCUCAAGACGUCUCUGCCAAAAUACAUAUUUACUUCUCUAUGCCAGGCUUCCUCCACCCCGAUAGAUCAAGACCGUGAACAUCACUUUGACCAACUUUAAUUAAAAUUGCAACAACCAGGUUUGUUGCUGGACCUGCUUGUGGGUGAUAACU